AGUCAACAUGCCCAGGGGACGUGGAUAACCUCGGGAAACUGAGGAUAAACCGCGAUAGGUCAUCACUUCUGGAAUGGGUAAUGACUUAAAUCUAUAUGGCCCCUGGAUUGGACUGCGGCCGAUCAGGCUGUUGGUGAGGUAAUGGCCCACCAAACCUGUAACCGGUACGGGCUCUGAGAGGAGGAGCCCGGAGAUGGGCACUGAGACAAGGGCCCAGGCCCUAUGGGGCGCAGCAGGCGCGAAACCUCCGCAAUAGGCGAAAGCUUGACAGGGUUACUCUGAGUGAUUUCCGUUAAGGAGAUCUUUUGGCACCUCUAAAAAUGGUGCAGAAUAAGGGGUGGGCAAGUCUGGUGUCAGCCGCCGCGGUAAUACCAGCACCCCGAGUGGUCGGGACGUUUAUUGGGCCUAAAGCAUCCGUAGCCGGUUCUACAAGUCUUCCGUUAAAUCCACCUGCUUAACAGAUGGGCUGCGGAAGAUACUAUAGAGCUAGGAGGCGGGAGAGGCAAGCGGUACUCGAUGGGUAGGGGUAAAAUCCGUUGAUCCAUUGAAGACCACCAGUGGCGAAGGCGGCUUGCCAGAACGCGCUCGACGGUGAGGGAUGAAAGCUGGGGGAGCAAACCGGAUUAGAUACCCGGGUAGUCCCAGCUGUAAACGAUGCAGACUCGGUGAUGAGUUGGC
RNAcentral lists this ribosomal RNA (678 nucleotides) under uncultured crenarchaeote. Its description in RNAcentral is "bacterial SSU rRNA". It matches the Rfam family "Archaeal small subunit ribosomal RNA", at positions 102 to 783 of the family's 1478-position model. Lineage: Archaea; Thermoproteati; Thermoproteota. The record is from RNAcentral.